Molecule: non-coding RNA, 46 nt
Organism: Strongylocentrotus purpuratus (purple sea urchin)
Lineage: Eukaryota; Metazoa; Echinodermata; Echinoidea; Camarodonta; Strongylocentrotidae
Source: Rfam
ACAAAAGUCCUUUUUAGGACUACACACACUCACACACUCAAGAAAG